GGGGAUUUAGCUCAGUGGUUAGAGCGCUUGCCUAGCAAGUGCAAGGCCCUGGGUUCAGUCCCCA
This 64-nucleotide transfer RNA is filed under the name Rattus norvegicus (Norway rat). It matches the Rfam family "tRNA". From Rfam's summary of the family: Transfer RNA (tRNA) molecules are approximately 80 nucleotides in length. Their secondary structure includes four short double-helical elements and three loops (D, anti-codon, and T loops). Further hydrogen bonds mediate the characteristic L-shaped molecular structure. tRNAs have two regions of fundamental functional importance: the anti-codon, which is responsible for specific mRNA codon recognition, and the 3' end, to which the tRNAs corresponding amino acid is attached (by aminoacyl-tRNA synthetases). tRNAs cope with the degeneracy of the genetic code in two manners: having more than one tRNA (with a specific anti-codon) for a particular amino acid; and 'wobble' base-pairing, i.e. permitting non-standard base-pairing at the 3rd anti-codon position. Lineage: Eukaryota; Metazoa; Chordata; Mammalia; Rodentia; Muridae. The record is from Rfam by way of RNAcentral.